This 308-nucleotide unclassified non-coding RNA is filed under the name uncultured bacterium. Its description in RNAcentral is "partial contains 16S ribosomal RNA and 16S-23S ribosomal RNA intergenic spacer region". It matches the Rfam family "Bacterial small subunit ribosomal RNA", at positions 69 to 358 of the family's 1533-position model. The record is from RNAcentral.
GAAAGGGGGGGCAACCCCCCGAGUAGAGCGGUUUUCGGGUGAGUAAAGAAAGAGUAACCUGCCCCCGGGCGGGGGAUAACUACUCGAAAGGGUGGCUAAUACCGCAUGAGACCACGGGGUCUUCGGACCCUGAGGCCAAAGAUGGCAUCGGCUUGCCGGUGCUGUCACCUGGGGAUGGGCCCGCGUACGAUUAGCUAGUUGGUGAGGUAACGGCUCACCAAGGCUACGAUCGUUAGCUGGUCUGAGAGGAUGGCCAGCCACACUGGAACUGAAACACGGUCCAGACUCCUACGGGAGGCAGCAGUGGG